This 253-nucleotide ribosomal RNA is filed under the name uncultured bacterium. Its description in RNAcentral is "partial 16S ribosomal RNA". It matches the Rfam family "Bacterial small subunit ribosomal RNA", at positions 524 to 776 of the family's 1533-position model. The record is from RNAcentral.
UACGGGGGGAGCAAGCGUUGUUCGGAUUUACUGGGCGUAAAGGGUGCGUAGGCGGGUUUUUAAGUCAGGGGUGAAAUCCUGGAGCUCAACUCCAGAACUGCCUUUGAUACUGAAGAUCUUGAGUCCGGGAGAGGUGAGUGGAACUGCGAGUGUAGAGGUGAAAUUCGUAGAUAUUCGCAAGAACACCAGUGGCGAAGGCGGCUCACUGGCCCGGUACUGACGCUGAGGCACGAAAGCGUGGGGAGCAAACAGG